UUCCUCUAAUAUAUUCGAAAGGCACAAAUCAAAAGCUCAAAAUUGAAUACCCUGUUGUCACUGUGAAAUUUAGGAGAAAAACACAUAUAAGUGGAAACCCACCUACAAUGUCAGAUCUUAAAAAGAAUACAAAUUAAUCAAAGAACAUAUCCCAUGCAAAAUCAAUGAAGAAAGAACUAACCAAUAAGAUUAUUAGUAACAAGAAUUACAGGAAGACCAAUCUCAGACUCUAAGGAUCAAAAGUAAAAACUCCACAAGAAAAACUACGGCAAGUAAGAUCCAACCGCCACACCAACCCAAUCAUUCUAUAAAAAGGCCGAGAAUUAUUAUAUUGUAACAAUAUCUAUAAGAUAAAAAGAAUAAAACCCAAUUUUCAGCACGUCUUUAAGGAAUAUAAUACUCCAAUUACUAAAUGAAUAAAACCAUAGAAGAAAUCAAGAACAGAACAAAACUCAAAAAAUAAAACAGAGAACCCCCACCGCUGUUUGCGGUUAAUUGAAG
Molecule: unclassified non-coding RNA, 501 nt
Filed under: Hevea brasiliensis (rubber tree)
Lineage: Eukaryota; Viridiplantae; Streptophyta; Magnoliopsida; Malpighiales; Euphorbiaceae
Source: RNAcentral